Molecule: unclassified non-coding RNA, 303 nt
Filed under: uncultured fungus
Lineage: Eukaryota; Fungi
Description: partial contains small subunit ribosomal RNA, internal transcribed spacer 1, and 5.8S ribosomal RNA
Rfam family: Eukaryotic small subunit ribosomal RNA (bases 1-73)
Source: RNAcentral
UCAAACUUGGUCAUUUAGAGGAAGUAAAAGUCGUAACAAGGUCUCCGUUGGUGAACCAGCGGAGGGAUCAUUACAAAACUGAGUUUAACAGCUCAUUUAAACCCAUUGUGAACCUAUACCAACUGUUGCUUCGGCGGAACCGCCCUGGGCGCGCUUGCGUGCCCCAGACUAUGGCGCCCGCCGGAGACCUCAACUAUAAUUCUUGCCUUUUGUAGCGUAUCUCUGAGUGUGAUUUUACCACAAAAUCAAAUUAAAACUUUCAACAACGGAUCUCUUGGCUCUGGCAUCGAUGAAGAACGCAGC